Molecule: ribosomal RNA, 460 nt
Filed under: uncultured bacterium
Lineage: Bacteria
Description: partial 16S ribosomal RNA
Rfam family: Bacterial small subunit ribosomal RNA
Source: RNAcentral
CCUACGGGAGGCAGCAGUGAGGAAUAUUGGUCAAUGGGCGCGAGCCUGAACCAGCCAAGUAGCGUGAAGGAUGACUGCCCUACGGGUUGUAAACUUCUUUUAUAAGGGAAUAAGGUGAGGCACGUGUGCCUUUUUGUAUGUCCUUUAUGAAUAAGGAUCGGCUAACUCCGUGCCAGCAGCCGCGGUCAUACGGAGGAUCCGAGCGUUAUCCGGAUUUAGUGGGUUUAAAGGGAGCGUAGAUGGUUUGGUAAGUCAGUUGUGAAAGUUUGCGGCUCAACCGGAAAAUUGCAAUUGAUACUGGCAGUCUUGAGUACAGGUGAGGUAGGCGGAAUUCGUGGUGUAGCGGUGAAAUGCGUAGAUAUCACGAAGAACUCCGAUUGCGAAGGCAGCUUACUAAACUGCCACUGACAUUGAUGCUCGAAAGCGUGGGUAUCAAACAGGAUUAGAUACCCGUGUAGUC